RNAcentral lists this long non-coding RNA (1505 nucleotides) under Macaca fascicularis (crab-eating macaque). Its description in RNAcentral is "lncRNA (ENSMFAG00000058491.1)". The record is from RNAcentral. Lineage: Eukaryota; Metazoa; Chordata; Mammalia; Primates; Cercopithecidae.
UUUUUUUUUUUUUUUUUAGAUGGAGUCCUGCUCUGUCGCCCAGGCUGGAGUGCAGUGGCACGAUCUCGGCUCACUGCAAGCUCCGCCUCCCGGGUUCACACCAUUCUCCUGCCUCAGUAUCCAGAGUAGCUGGGACUAUAAGCAUACAACCCUAUUUCUGAAGUAAAUCCUACUGCUUUCCCAUUUAACAGAUAAGAAAGCUGGGGCUCAGAGAUGGUAAGUGAUCUGUGUACAGUCACACAGCUCCAAAGUGGAAGAGUCAGAAUUCAAACCCAGGCAGUGUGGCUCCGACCCGGCCCUUGCACCCUGGCUCCAGCGAGCCCUUGUGAGUGCCCAGGGAAGAGGGCAGGAGCAGGCUUUGAUGGUUCCCCAGCCUGUGCAGGUCAGGACUCCAACCCAGACCCUAUCGGUGCCUCUGCUCCUAGUUUGUAGGUGCUACCUGCAAAUUAGCUAAACAUUAUGGAAAAACCCGUGUCUUGGCCAAGAUAUGGCUCAUUAAUGCACGUUUAUACAAAUCAUGACAAUUUCUUCAGACAGAGACUUGAAAUGCCUUCCCUGCAGAAGUUGGUCACAGAGAUCACCAAAAAUAGCAACCGGCUCAAGGCAGUAGCUUGGUAAAUGCCACUGACAAUCUGGGGUUUAUUCCUCCUCCCAGAGCCAAUGCUGGUGCUCACAGUGGUCUCUCCAGGGACCAGAGCAGCAGCUGAAGGUCCAGGUGUGGAAGGGCCGGUCCUGGACUGGGGAUCAUGCUGCCGCAGCCCCACUGCGCCCUGUUUCUUGUGGACCAAUUUUGGUAUCUGUGCAGUUAGUCCAAAAAAACAGACACACCAAGUCUCUGAAAUCUGUGAAGUCUUGGUCUCUCUGAGCUUCAGUUUUACCAUCUGCACAAAGGGCAUCCUCAGGUAGCUGCGAAAAUCAGAGAUGAUGAAUGGGAUGCCCAUGGCACAUGCCAGGAGCAUGACAAAUGGGACCUACUACUACCAUUACUCCAAGGAGCAGACAGAAAAGGGUGCUGUGUGCCAGGGCUCCCAGAAUGGAGAGGGCGAGGUGAGCUGAGAGAUUGUUUGGAAAUCUUCUACCUCUUGGGAGCAGUAUGACUGAAGGUGGGGGCAGGGAGUGGCGCCAGAACUGACCAAGUAUGGCAUGAGGUUUCCCUCAAUCUCGAGGGGGCAUCCCAGAGGGGCAAGGAAGGCCCCUGAGUAGAGAGAGCCCAGCAACUAGCAGGUACCGGGACCCUGACUGGGCAGGUUGUGCCAAGGGACACGGGCUGAGUGUGAGGAGCCCCUAAGGGAAGAUGCAGAUCCGGAGUGAGGGGUCCGCUGGAGCUUGGUGGGCGGCCAGCUGGCAGUGCCCACUGCAGCAGAGCCAGGAGCCUGCGGCCCCCCCAACCCUUGGCCUAUACACACGUGCUGAAACUGAGACCCCAGGGGGCCGCGACGAGGUCUGCAGCACAGCAGACCGCGGACUCGGACGGACGGGCCAGCCUUGGGGCCUUGCAGAGGCCC